This 1624-nucleotide long non-coding RNA is filed under the name Monomorium pharaonis (pharaoh ant). RNAcentral's name for it is "uncharacterized LOC105834954". Lineage: Eukaryota; Metazoa; Arthropoda; Insecta; Hymenoptera; Formicidae. The record is from RNAcentral.
CAUUUUUGACAUAAACUUCGCAAUCUAGACUAAUAAUGCAUAUACUUUUACCCUGAAAACAAAUAGAGAAUUUGCAUUAAAAAAUAACACUUCUUUACGUUUAAAUAUAAAGUAAAUGGUAUUAUUAGGAAUCAAUUCGUUUUUUUAUUUUUGAUUUCCAUGAUUUAUUAAAAGUAAAAAAAACAGGCCGAGACUCUCUUGAAAGAGUGCAACGCCGCUUCAGAAAGGUGAAGUCCCCACCACAAUUAAAUCGAAGGGAAAAUAAUUCACAAAGAAGAUAUAAUCGUAGAGAAAUAUUUUUACAUAUAUCCCAAUAUGUAGAUAAUGCAAUUCUUUAAAUCUUUUAGCUUAUAAAGAAGCUAAUGACGAACAACGAAUUAUUCAUGACUUAAAUCUGCGACGAUGGGCGUUAGAAGCCAAAGAACAAAUAAUAUUUUUUCAUUUAAAGAAGGAGCAACAUGGAUAUUAAAUUUAAAAAAAAAGGAAUUGUAUCUAAAAAAAUAAAAAAAUUUAUAAACCGUACAGUGAGAGACAAAGAAUAAUUAGAAGUUGCAUGCCAAGAAUUUAUAAAUACUGUAAAAUCCUUCAUUGGUUUUUUUGGAAUAAAAAGUAUAUACAAUGCUGACGAAAGUAGAUUUAAUUUGAAAAUUUAUUCAGGCAGAACGUUGACCAUACAGGGUGUUAAAACAGUUGAAGCUCCAAUUCAAUCGACGUCAGCAAUAACACAUAGUUAUACAAUAAUGCCCAUAGUUUCUGCAGACGGAAAAUUACAUUCACCUCUCUAUUUGGUUUUGAAAAAGACUAGUGGAAAUUUUGGUCCACGAGUUAAAGAAAUCUGUAAACAGGCCUGCAAACAUUUAUAUCGCUGCAUCGAAAUUGGGUAAAUUAACUAGAGAACACUUUCAAUCUUGGUUUAUAACUGUAUUUUUACCCACAAGUGGAAGCUUCAGUGUGCUAUUAUGAGAUUCUUGGACCGGACAUGUCCUACAACCCUUCAAGAAUUAAUGCCUUCUGAUAAAGAUGUACGAACUUUAACUAUACCAAAAAGGACAGAAAUAAUUCAAAUUUCUCUUGAUGUUUAUGGAUUUAGGAUUUGCAAGAAGUUUGUAAGAACAUUCAGUAAUCAUGUCGUAUUAUUUAAUUACCAUAUUAAUUUACACUUGAAAAAUAACAUUAUUAAAUCUUUAACGCUACUUUCUCCGCAAUUUCAUAAUCUUUUUAAGCACGCCUAGUUCAAGAGUGGAUAUAUCAAGGAACGGCCAUCACAAUUCCAAGUGGAUUUGUUUCUCUGGAAAAGACAUACAAGAGAUACCAUGUUCCAAAUGUAACGCCCCGGCAGUAAUACGUUGUUCUUAGUAUAAGCAAUACCUUUGUCUGCGUCAUUUCUUUGAGCAACGUCAUGAUUGCAAACAUUAUUAGGAAUAAAAAUAAUAAAAAGUCUUCAAAUAUAUGUAUAGCGUAAUACUUCUUAUCAGCAUGGUAAAAAUGUCAGCCAUAAAAUGCAUGCGUAUACUGUAUGUAUAUAGAAAAAAUAAUAUUUCUGUACAUAAAAAAUAUUAAUAUCAGCACAAUAUUAAUUAUAUAAAUUAUAGUAUAAAAUUAUAUAGUACACACAUACCAAAAA